GCAGCGGGCCUUCCAGGCAUCCUCUCCUAAACUCUCAAGGGCCGCUCCUUCACAGGGGCGGCCCUUUUUUAUUUCAACA
RNAcentral lists this small RNA (79 nucleotides) under Sphingobium sp. AEW001. RNAcentral describes it as "suhB". It matches the Rfam family "Makes More Granules Regulator RNA (mmgR)". From Rfam's summary of the family: SuhB later renamed mmgR (makes more granules regulator) was a putative non-coding RNA found multiple times in the Agrobacterium tumefaciens genome and related alpha-proteobacteria. Other non-coding RNAs uncovered in the same analysis include: speF, ybhL, metA, and serC. RNAcentral also lists the same sequence under 2 other names. Lineage: Bacteria; Pseudomonadati; Pseudomonadota; Alphaproteobacteria; Sphingomonadales; Sphingobiaceae. The record is from RNAcentral.